This is a non-coding RNA of Parelaphostrongylus tenuis, 71 nucleotides long. The record is from the annotation of a GenBank genome assembly. Lineage: Eukaryota; Metazoa; Nematoda; Chromadorea; Rhabditida; Metastrongylidae.
GCCUCGGUGGUGUAAAGAUAGCACGCAUCCGCGGCAUGGAUGAAACGCGGGUUCGGCUCCCGCCUGAGGUC